Molecule: RNA transcript, 5858 nt
Organism: Mesocricetus auratus (golden hamster)
Lineage: Eukaryota; Metazoa; Chordata; Mammalia; Rodentia; Cricetidae
Gene: Gria4
Gene name: glutamate ionotropic receptor AMPA type subunit 4
Exons: 15
Source: RefSeq, a predicted model, not a curated record
CAUCAGAGCUGGUCCCUCCGCAAACCCAGGAAGAAAGGAGGAAGGGGUCAGAGAUUGGAGAGGUGACGUGAAAACCCCAGUCUGCAGACUGGCUCAGGAGCCUCCCUGGAGACCUGGGCGCUCUGCGCCAUCGUCUUCAAUGACUCUCUGAAGAACCUUUAGCGAGAGUGUGAGAGAAAGAGGGGAGCGCGCACCAGGGAGAGUAGCAAAGAAGAUGAGGAGUAUUUGCAGUCAGAUUGUCUUGUUGUUUUCUGGAUUUUGGGGACUCGCCAUGGGAGCCUUUCCAAGCAGCGUCCAAAUAGGUGGUCUCUUCAUCAGAAACACAGACCAGGAAUACACUGCUUUCAGAUUGGCAAUCUUUCUUCAUAACACCAGCCCCAACGCCUCCGAAGCCCCUUUCAAUCUGGUACCUCAUGUGGACAACAUUGAGACAGCCAACAGUUUUGCUGUGACAAAUGCCUUCUGUUCCCAGUAUUCUAGAGGAGUGUUUGCCAUUUUUGGACUCUAUGACAAGAGGUCAGUGCACACCUUGACCUCAUUCUGCAGUGCCCUACACAUCUCCCUCAUCACACCCAGCUUCCCCACUGAAGGGGAGAGCCAGUUCGUACUGCAGCUAAGGCCUUCCUUGAGAGGUGCACUCCUGAGCCUGCUGGAUCACUAUGAAUGGAACUGUUUCGUCUUCCUGUAUGACACAGACAGGGGAUAUUCAAUACUUCAAGCUAUUAUGGAAAAAGCAGGACAGAAUGGAUGGCAUGUCAGUGCAAUAUGUGUGGAAAAUUUUAACGAUGUCAGCUACAGGCAACUGCUAGAAGAGCUUGACAGAAGACAAGAGAAGAAAUUUGUAAUAGAUUGUGAGAUAGAAAGGCUUCAGAACAUUCUAGAACAAAUUGUGAGUGUUGGGAAGCAUGUCAAAGGCUACCAUUAUAUCAUCGCAAAUUUGGGUUUCAAGGACAUUUCUCUUGAGAGAUUUAUACACGGCGGAGCAAAUGUCACUGGAUUCCAAUUGGUAGAUUUUAAUACGCCUAUGGUAACCAAACUAAUGGAUCGAUGGAAGAAACUAGAUCAGAGAGAAUAUCCAGGAUCUGAAACGCCUCCAAAGUACACCUCUGCUCUGACUUACGAUGGAGUUCUGGUGAUGGCUGAAACUUUCCGAAGUCUCAGAAGACAGAAAAUUGAUAUUUCGAGGAGAGGAAAUGCUGGGGAUUGUCUGGCAAACCCUGCUGCUCCCUGGGGCCAGGGAAUUGACAUGGAGAGAACCCUGAAACAGGUUCGAAUUCAAGGGCUGACUGGGAAUGUUCAAUUUGACCACUAUGGACGUAGAGUUAAUUAUACAAUGGAUGUAUUUGAACUAAAAAGCACAGGACCUCGAAAGGUGGGCUACUGGAAUGACAUGGAUAAAUUAGUGUUGAUUCAAGACGUGCCUACUCUCGGCAAUGACACUGCAGCUAUCGAGAACAGAACAGUGGUUGUAACCACUAUUAUGGAAUCCCCCUAUGUUAUGUACAAGAAAAAUCACGAAAUGUUUGAAGGAAAUGACAAGUAUGAAGGCUACUGUGUAGAUUUGGCAUCCGAAAUUGCAAAACAUAUCGGUAUCAAGUACAAAAUUGCCAUUGUCCCUGAUGGAAAAUAUGGAGCCAGGGACGCAGACACUAAAAUCUGGAAUGGAAUGGUAGGAGAGCUUGUGUAUGGGAAAGCGGAAAUUGCUAUUGCACCUCUGACAAUCACCUUGGUACGUGAGGAGGUCAUUGACUUCUCCAAGCCUUUCAUGAGUUUAGGCAUCUCUAUCAUGAUCAAAAAGCCUCAGAAAUCCAAACCAGGCGUGUUCUCCUUCUUGGACCCUCUGGCCUAUGAGAUCUGGAUGUGCAUAGUGUUUGCAUACAUUGGUGUCAGUGUGGUCUUGUUCCUAGUCAGCAGGUUUAGCCCAUAUGAGUGGCACACGGAAGAGCCCGAGGAUGGAAAGGAGGGUCCCAGCGACCAGCCUCCCAAUGAGUUUGGCAUCUUUAACAGUCUCUGGUUUUCCCUGGGGGCCUUUAUGCAGCAAGGAUGUGACAUUUCACCCAGAUCCCUGUCAGGUCGGAUCGUUGGAGGCGUCUGGUGGUUCUUCACACUCAUCAUUAUUUCGUCUUACACUGCUAAUCUGGCUGCUUUCCUGACGGUGGAGAGAAUGGUCUCCCCCAUAGAAAGUGCAGAAGACCUGGCCAAACAAACAGAAAUUGCAUAUGGUACACUGGAUUCGGGGUCAACAAAAGAAUUCUUCCGAAGAUCAAAAAUAGCAGUGUAUGAAAAGAUGUGGACCUACAUGCGAUCAGCAGAGCCGUCUGUGUUCACUAGGACUACAGCUGAGGGCGUGGCUCGUGUCCGCAAGUCCAAGGGCAAAUUUGCCUUUCUCCUGGAGUCCACGAUGAAUGAAUACAUUGAGCAGCGAAAGCCCUGUGACACGAUGAAAGUGGGAGGAAACCUGGAUUCCAAAGGCUAUGGUGUAGCAACACCCAAGGGUUCCUCAUUAAGGUGGGUGGAAUAGUAUAACAAUAGAUCAUGCAUUGUUAUAGUAUUCCACCUUCCCUGAUGUCCCUGAAAAAAAUUAUUUUACUUUGUGUGUGAAUAGUAUGUUUGUUGGUUUAUUUUCCUUUUCUCCAUUUCAUACUUUUGAUCAACAGUCAGGCAAAAGUUAUUUUUUUGUUUUAAUUCUGAAAUGAUCAUAUUUGACAUUAAUCUUUGAAGGCCAUAUAAAAACCAACGUGGUUGAACACUAGCUGCUUGAAGUGGGCCUAAAUAAUGGGUUUUAUAUUUUUCUAGAUCUCAUCAACUUUUUCUGUUGUUUUGCCCACAAUUGAUGCUGCCUGCUACCAUUGUGUCAGGAGUGACUCUACAUUUUAUUGCUAUGUUUAAAUCUUAUGUCUGGCUGCUAGACUCUCAGCAAGAAGAAAUCCACUCUUUCCAACAGAGAGAUUUCCUUUUUCCAUUUCAGUGUUUUGUUUGAUAUGGCAUCAUUCUAUUUCAGACUAUGGAGAGGUUGGACUGGUACUGUUUGAAAUCAUGUCCUUUUAUAAAGCCAACCAGACCUAGAGGAAGUGUAGGCUCUGGCUUUAUGGUGCUUACUCAGGUCAUACUCCCAUAUAUUUUUAAGGGAGUGUGGUAUAAGUAAGAUCUGUAAAGUUAGAAAAAGUAUGACUCAAAAAUGUUUGUAGAUAGACUCUUCUAAGGGGCUCAUAAGAAAAGCAUUACAAGAAUGGGUUAAAAUGGUCGAAUCUGCCCUUUGCAUCCUUUCGGUUCCCAGUAUAGAAAAUUCAUGUUUACACCCAGAAAGCAGAAUUUCCUAUUUUCCUUAAGUAAUAAAGGCUGCUUUGGACCUACUGGGGCUAAAGCCCACCGCAAGUGAUAACUGACAAAUCACUCUGGUCUCAGUGCUGCUUAGGAGAGAAGCACAAAGCACAGAUUCAAGAGGAAAUCACAGGCCUUGCUAAAGGGCUUAACCAAGAACCUGUCUUGAGAAGUGAUGUCUCUGAUCCAAACCCUCUGGCACACUCUAUAGAUGGUUGCUGGCUUCCAACUGAGAUUUUUCCGUGUGAUUUGUAAGUUGCUCAUUCUGGGGACAAAUGGUAGACAUCUGAGCACUGAAUGCAAAGUGGAAAAGUUGCUAAAUUUAGUGUUUAGUUCUUUUUUCAUUUUUAUCUUUAUACUUAUAAGAUAUUUUAGGGACUUUGGGGGAAAGUGGGCAUUUUGUGAUUAUUUUAGUUUCUACUACCUCAAAAUGAUAUAUUUAAUAAAAUGAAAUUUCUACAGUAGAAAUUAUUGGGUCUAAGUUUUGCAGCCUGAUUUGAUAAGAAAAUCAAGACUAGACCCCAGUUCUGGUAUUCAAGGAAAUUUCAAACCAUCGCUCUUUUAAUUCAUGCACUUGCUCAAUAGAAACUAAAAAUUAAAAUCAGCCAUUGUUUUGUAUAUACCUCUGGUGCCAGAAUUUGGGAGAUGGAAAUAGGAGGAUCAAGAAUCCAAAGUUAUUCUCAGAAAAUAGGGACCUUGAGACCAGCCUGGGAUACACGAGACCCAUCUUAUAAAUAAAUCAGUAAUAAUAAAUGAGAGUAGAUUUUUAAGUACACAAAAGAGAAAAGCUCAUAAAUAAAUCAGUGAUAAUAGAUUUUUAAGCAUGUAGAAGGCAAAAGCAAAUGCAUGGUGGCUUCUGUACGUAUGAACCAUCUCUUUCUACCAUGGUGGAAAGCAGCUAGAUAUGAAUUCCCUCUUACAAAUCUUCACAAUGGGACUGAAAUGAAAUCAUUUCCUCAGACGUUUCUGUGAAGUGAAGAACUAGAAGUAGGCAUAAUACAGAUACUCACAUGAGAAAGUAGGAACCAGCUAGACAAAGUGCAGUAUCAGAAAGGGUCUCCUAACAGAAAGGAAGAUUGAGAAAUACAGAAAUUCAACGUCCUUGGAGGCAGACAAAUGAGCAGCAGAUACCAGUAGUCCUGGACCUGUUGUUUCUGAUUUUGUGUUGAACUGGACUUGUUAACAUGAGCAGAAUAUACGGACAUGUUGCUCUCAUUUAAGUCUUAUCUGCAAGACAAACACCCUGCACCAGAGAAUUUGGCCACCUGAAGCUUUCAACAUCCAUAAGUGUACUUGGCCAGAGUGAGUCAGUGUCCAGGCAUAAAGAUGACUCUACUCCCAACACAGGAAGAGCAACUUUGGCAUCAUUACAAGGAGGUAUUAAUAAAACUUAAUGUAUGCGUAGGGUUAGUGUGUGAGAACAUUGUAUUCUUGCACUUUGAAAUGCACAAAACAGAUUUGAGUGACGCAUAGUCAUCCCUCCAUUUUUUCCUUUAAUAUUGAAUUUGCCUGUACACCAAGGUUUCAAUUUUCCAGUGUCAGGUUUUGCUUGUUAUUCUCUAGAACACAGAUUUGCACAAUAACUAUGAAGUAGUUCUUAAAGUGUUUUUUUAAAAAUGGCUCCUCAAUGAAAAGAAAAUGUCAGGAAAACUUCCUGACAACAUCUUAGUGCAUAGGACUGUGACUUCUAUAGAUGACAAGCUUUUGGCCUUUACAAUCAGACAUGUGCUUGAGCUCUUUGUACAGCCUCAGAGCAUCAUCAAAGGUCAAGUAGCAAGUUUUAUGGCAGUGUUUGCAGAUGCAGUUCUUCAUACAUCUUCCUAAAUGAAAGCAUGCAGGGUAGGGGCGGUCUGGGCCCUUCAGUUCAGACUGCUCAGGAUCACAGUUCUUAAGUAGCUCUUAUAAGUAUGGAGAAAGUAGAAAAGCCUAACUAUUCUGCAAUAGAUCCCUGCCCCUUAUGGUUCCAGAACACUCUUACCUGAUAGAAUAAAGACAAAUUAGGGAGAAACUGGAAAAGUGAAGGUUGAAUAAGUCUCUUUAUAUGGGCAAUAAUUAAGAAGACAGAGAAUAUCUUCUAUCACAUAUAUACAUACAAAUUAAAGCUUUGGAGAGAUACAUAGUAAAGUGCACAUUAAUAUAAGAUGCUCAGUUGUUAAAGGCUAGGCUCACAAUCAAAAAUAUAAGAUGACUUUACCCUUUAUGCAGUGGUUCUCAACCUUCCUAAUACUCUGUCCCUUUAAUACAGAUCCUCACGAUGUGGUGACCACACAAUAAAGUUAUUUUCAAGGCUACUUUAUAACUGUGAUUCCAUGAACGUUGUGAAACAUAAUGUAAAUAUCUGUGUUUUCUGAUUGUCUUAAGAGACCCCUGUGAAAGGGACAUUCCACCUCCAAAGGGGUUGUGACCCACAGGUUGAAAACAGCUGCCUUAAAACUUACCAUAUUAUGAAAAUGUAAUACACUCCUCAGUGUAGCAUUCUCUGCAAUGAUGUGUUAAUCCAGUUUUAUGCUGAUAAUAAUCAUUUACUUAUGAUAUCA